AUACUUACCUGGCAGGGAGAUGCCAUGAUCACGCAGGUGGUUUUCCCAGGAUGAGGUUCAUCCAUUGCACUUGGGAUGUGCCGACCCCUGCGAUUUCCCCAAAUGUGGGAAACUGCGUAAUUUGUGGUAGUGGGGGACUGCGUUCGUGCUCUCCCCUG
Molecule: small nuclear RNA, 158 nt
Organism: Ochotona princeps (American pika)
Lineage: Eukaryota; Metazoa; Chordata; Mammalia; Lagomorpha; Ochotonidae
Gene: U1
Rfam family: U1 spliceosomal RNA
About the family: U1 is a small nuclear RNA (snRNA) component of the spliceosome (involved in pre-mRNA splicing). Its 5' end forms complementary base pairs with the 5' splice junction, thus defining the 5' donor site of an intron.
Source: Ensembl